GGGGUGGGCAGCACCGAAGGUGAAAGUCCCGUCCGACCCCGUGGCUCGCCUGUACGGCACGCUUCCACGAAUCGUGUUCCUUGAAAAUGGAGCGCAAAGUGGGUGGUAAAUCUCAUCCAAAGCUAAAUACGGGUUCGAAAUUGAUAGCAAACAAGUACAUGAGGGAAAUGUGAAAAGGACUUUGAAAAGAAAGUUAGAAGUGCCUGAAAUUGUUGAAAGGAAAGCAAACGAAAUCGAUCUUGUUGAGGUAGAUUGCUUCAUGUGCGGGGGGAAGGUGAUGUUGCACACUUGCUGCAUUGUUCCCCUGCUCCUCACACUUGUGGUGUGUCUGCCUCUACAUAUCAAACAUCAUUUGGGUCUUGCCAAUGUGCAUGGUGCAAGGGAUUUCAACUUUUUGAAUGAUUGCUCCUUCGUCUGGCAUCCUGUUUGAUUGCUUUGCACUUGGGUUUCAUGGGUCACUUGUGUGCUCAUGCAUCCUUGGUGCUGCUUUUGAUGAUGAUAUUUCUUUUGACCCGUCUUGAAACACGGACCAAGGAGUCUAACGCAUGUGCGAGUUUAUGAAUUUAAAUUUCUUGGCAUAAUGAAAAUGACAGGUGGGAUGUGUGCACCAACAACCAACCAAUCAAUUGUGAGAGGUUUGAGCUUGAGCAUCUGUGUUAGGACCCGAAAGAUGGUGAACUAUGCUUGAGAAAGGUAAAUU
Molecule: ribosomal RNA, 700 nt
Filed under: Spiniferites belerius
Lineage: Eukaryota; Dinophyceae; Gonyaulacales; Gonyaulacaceae
Description: partial large subunit ribosomal RNA
Rfam family: Eukaryotic large subunit ribosomal RNA
Source: RNAcentral